RNAcentral lists this ribosomal RNA (378 nucleotides) under Triticum aestivum (bread wheat). Its description in RNAcentral is "partial small subunit ribosomal RNA". The record is from RNAcentral. Lineage: Eukaryota; Viridiplantae; Streptophyta; Magnoliopsida; Poales; Poaceae.
AUGAGUAUGACAAUCACGCAUUUCAUGAUGAAAUUAGGCGAACUCCUCACUAUCUAUGGUACCUUACGAGCAAAGUGUCGAACACCUUGUGGUCGUGGUGGAGACGCGGUCGAUGAAAAGCACCACGGCCUCCCGUACAUGCAGCGGGACUGUACAAGCGGAGAUAAGGGCGGUAGGAGGCCUUGCAUCGCGAGGCAGACGGUGUUGGGGCCGAUGACCGUCGCCGGCGGCCAUAGUUUCUCUAGUACCGGAGGCGAUGAAGAAAUCCCACAAACACUGGCAAGAAUUUCUCCGAAAGCGGGAGGGGGGAUUUUUGUAGAUGCGACGGGGUUGUUGGGGCGGCCGUCCUUGACUGCCGCGGAAGCGGCCGGAAAAUGA